AUCUAUAAAUAUUGGUGUUCCGGGGACUCACUCCACCACCAAUUUCACAACUUCUUACACAUCAACUUCCCUUUCUCCACUACCCUUCUUUUUCAGUCUCUGGUCUGGUAUAAUUUCCAUAAUUCAAUGGAGAUAAAGAAAAUAAUCUUGAAGUUGGAGGUAUUCGAUGACAAAGCCAAGCAGAAGGCCAUGAAGAAUGUCUCUUCCCUUCCAGGAGUUACUUCAAUCUCCGUGGAUAUGAAGGACAAGAAAUUGACUGUAAUCGGAGAUGUGGAUCCAGUAUGCAUAGUGAGCAAGUUGAGGAAGUUUUGCCGCACAGAGAUAUUAUCAGUUGGACCAGCAAAAGAGCCAGAGAAGAAGAAGGAGGAGCCUAAGAAAGAGGAGCCCAAGAAAGAAGAGAAGAAGGACGCUAAAGAACAAUUGGCUGAUCUUGUUAAAGCACACCAAGCCUUUUACCCUCAAUAUGCCCCACACUACUAUGUUAGAAGUGUGGAAGAAGACCCAAAUGCUUGUGUCAUUUGUUAAUCACCAGAUCAUAGAAGAACCCAAAAAGGCAAAAGCAAUGGUAUCGGUAUCUGUCUAUGGGUGAUUAUAGAUAUGGGCCUUCUAUAAUGAUGGUGCACUCAAGAACAGAAGCCUUAUGUACAGUACUGAAUGGUUAGUGGAUGGUGGGUGUUUGAUUGUUUAUUGUUUGCCAGUUUUGAUUUGGCGUGUAUCAUAUUUUGGGUUGUUUUUUUCCAUGAAUGAAGUAAGAACUUGGAGUUGUUAUGAUAAUUGAA
Long non-coding RNA from Vitis vinifera (wine grape), 779 nucleotides. RefSeq annotates it as heavy metal-associated isoprenylated plant protein 39. Lineage: Eukaryota; Viridiplantae; Streptophyta; Magnoliopsida; Vitales; Vitaceae. The record is from RefSeq and is a predicted model, not a curated record. The transcript has 3 exons.